GAAACCUUCUCAUUGAACCCUUUUUUCUUUUUAAAGAAAAGUUUGGGUCUACAGUGGAUGAUGAGUGUUGCUCUUUUUAUGGAAGAGCUCACUUUAAAUUAAUCAGUUGUUCCUUUUUUGAGAAAAUGAAAAGAGGACUUGAUGUGAUACCUAUCUUCAUCAAGACACUUUUUUCUCCUAUUCAAUAAAAGGGGAGGGACUUAUAAAUCUUUUUGUGCAAACAAAGAACCAAUUUU
Molecule: unclassified non-coding RNA, 236 nt
Filed under: Leucotelium pruni-persicae
Lineage: Eukaryota; Fungi; Basidiomycota; Pucciniomycetes; Pucciniales; Raveneliaceae
Description: ITS2
Source: RNAcentral